ACCCCAUGAUGUGGACACUUACGAAACAAUUCUUUGAAUCUUUCCCAUGCGUCGUACAAAAACUCAUAAUCCAAUUGUUGGGAAGUGGUCAUCUUAUUUCGCAAAUU
Molecule: small nucleolar RNA, 107 nt
Filed under: Gossypium hirsutum (cotton)
Lineage: Eukaryota; Viridiplantae; Streptophyta; Magnoliopsida; Malvales; Malvaceae
Description: Plant small nucleolar RNA R71
Rfam family: Plant small nucleolar RNA R71
About the family: R71 is a member of the C/D box family of snoRNAs containing the C (UGAUGA) and D (CUGA) box motifs.
Source: Rfam by way of RNAcentral